RNAcentral lists this transfer RNA (72 nucleotides) under Capra hircus (goat). It matches the Rfam family "tRNA". Rfam says of the family: Transfer RNA (tRNA) molecules are approximately 80 nucleotides in length. Their secondary structure includes four short double-helical elements and three loops (D, anti-codon, and T loops). Further hydrogen bonds mediate the characteristic L-shaped molecular structure. tRNAs have two regions of fundamental functional importance: the anti-codon, which is responsible for specific mRNA codon recognition, and the 3' end, to which the tRNAs corresponding amino acid is attached (by aminoacyl-tRNA synthetases). tRNAs cope with the degeneracy of the genetic code in two manners: having more than one tRNA (with a specific anti-codon) for a particular amino acid; and 'wobble' base-pairing, i.e. permitting non-standard base-pairing at the 3rd anti-codon position. Lineage: Eukaryota; Metazoa; Chordata; Mammalia; Artiodactyla; Bovidae. RNAcentral also lists the same sequence under 3 other names. The record is from Rfam by way of RNAcentral.
UCCCUGGUGGCUCAGAGGUUAAAGCAUCUGCCUGCAAUGUGGGAGACCUGGGUUCGAUCCCUGGAUUGGGAA